Molecule: non-coding RNA, 234 nt
Filed under: Thermaerobacter marianensis
Lineage: Bacteria; Bacillati; Bacillota; Clostridia; Eubacteriales; Clostridiales Family XVII. Incertae Sedis
Also listed under: 1 other name
Source: RNAcentral
GAAUCGCGUGACGGUCCAGGUGCUCCCGCCGGGGCGAGCCCGCCGGGCCCGUCCGGGGCGGGGGAGAAUAGGGAAGUCCGGUGCAAAUCCGGCGCGGUCCCGCCACUGUGACCGGGGAGUCGUCGCCCCUCGCGCGCCACUGCGGCCGCUGCCCCAUCGGGGCCAGGCUGCGGGAAGGCCGGGCGGCGGCCAUGAUCCGGGAGCCAGGAGACCUGCCUGGACCGUGUACGUACG